Long non-coding RNA from Drosophila mojavensis, 1382 nucleotides. RefSeq lists it as uncharacterized. The record is from RefSeq and is a predicted model, not a curated record. The transcript has 2 exons. Lineage: Eukaryota; Metazoa; Arthropoda; Insecta; Diptera; Drosophilidae.
AAGACUGCAGCUGCUAUAACAAAUAACAGAUAACAAAAAUUUGACUGAAUUUAUCAUAUAUUCCUGGAACAGAGCUGUCAGAGGGCACGGGAUUCCGCAACUCUCUUUCGGUAAACAAGUUUGUACACACAAUGCAGUUGAUAAGAAAUAAUAAAGUUUUCGGAAUGCCCAAUGCACAUGCCGGUGUAUUCGAAAAAUAGAAAUCCCGACCACCGAGGCUAAAGAGCAGAAUACGGACGACAACAUCUAAUGAGCCAGAAGCAAAUGCAGAUUCAUUCAAUCGAACAAUCUGGUACGAUGGCAAAUAGGCCAGAGCUGGAACCAUGGGAACCAUGGUCACACGAAUGGCAGGAAUAAUUUUUAUCCUUCGUGGCCAGAAUGACACGGGUGCCCCCAAAACUAUCUGAAUGAUUUGGCAACGACGCAUCAGAAUGCGAUUGUGGACUAUUCGUCCUGGGAGGUCAGCACUGAGGGAAGCUCUUGGUCGCUGGAGAAGAUGCUGGACAUUCAGUAAAACGCUAAUCGUCGCAAGAAUCAAGGUGGAGGCGUAUGUAGAUAAGCUGAGCAACUUAAAGCAGUGGAAGUAUCGCGAGCUACUUUCAAAUAAUGCGACUUGCACUUAAUAUUGUAAGCAAACGGGUGAACACACGUCCUCAGAUGUGGUAUCGAGUAAACGCACACAAGCACACAGCAGACCCACGCACACAUACGCACGCAAAUAGAAGGGCAUUCACCGGGGUUGUUGCUUUAGAUAAAUUAGGGCUUGGAUAUACGCUACAUACAAUAUCCUAUAUGAAUUCGAUUUGAAAAGAAUAACAGAUAUAUACCCCAUCUGAAUGGGCAGCUGCUGGUUUGUUGUGGGAACAGGAGAGAAACAAACUGAACAGAAUGUCUUUAAAUACCUUUAAAGAUUUCAUUUAUUUCAUUUUAUCAAAGCAUAGCUAAUUGGCCUUAGACCAAAUCAAAAUAGAUGGAUCAGGAAACUGACCUAUCAAAGCCGAAGUCGAAAUAAAUUCAAGCUGGAUGACUCCGAAUUACUUAUCCAAUUUGAUUAAAUUAUAUGUGUUGGGCGAAUGAAGCCUGAUUGGCAUCUAGCCUGGUCCCAAAAGUCCAAAGCUCUUGGAAGUGUUUCCAGAAUGAGCACAAACAGUUUAUAGCAUACUAAAGGCACUGAAAGCAAAGCUCCUACUAAGUUACAAGAUUGACGAGACGAAGAAGGAAGCAUAUCCACACAUAAUUUGGAAUUACCUAUACUUUCCAUUCUAUAUAAAUAUAAAUUGUAUAUUUUCUCAUUAUUCAAACAGAGUCGUAAGUGCGAUCACUGUUUAAAUUUUUUGUUUAAAUAAUUUAAAAAUUAAAAAAAAAAAAUUUUUACCCAACAG